CCUACGGGGGGCAGCAGUGGGGAAUAUUGGGCAAUGGGCGAAAGCCUGACCCAGCAACGCCGCGUGAAGGAAGAAGGCUUUCGGGUUGUAAACUUCUUUUGACAGGGAAGAGCAGAAGACGGUACCUGUCGAAUAAGCCACGGCUAACUACGUGCCAGCAGCCGCGGUAAUACAUAGGGGGCAAGCGUUAUCCGGAAUUAUUGGGUGUAAAGGGUGCGUAGACGGAAGAACAAGUUGGUUGUGAAAUCCCUCGGCUCAACUGAGGAACUGCAACCAAAACUAUUCUCCUUGAGUGUCGGAGAGGAAAGUGGAAUUCCUAGUGUAGCGGUGAAAUGCGUAGAUAUUAGGAGGAACACCAGUGGCGAAGGCGACUUUCUGGACGAUAACUGACGUUGAGGCACGAAAGUGUGGGGAGCAAACAGGAUUAGAUACCCGAGUAGUC
RNAcentral lists this ribosomal RNA (442 nucleotides) under uncultured bacterium. RNAcentral's name for it is "partial 16S ribosomal RNA". It matches the Rfam family "Bacterial small subunit ribosomal RNA", at positions 338 to 795 of the family's 1533-position model. The record is from RNAcentral.